Molecule: ribosomal RNA, 350 nt
Filed under: Salmonella enterica subsp. enterica serovar Derby
Lineage: Bacteria; Pseudomonadati; Pseudomonadota; Gammaproteobacteria; Enterobacterales; Enterobacteriaceae
Also listed under: 3 other names
Description: bacterial SSU rRNA
Rfam family: Bacterial small subunit ribosomal RNA
Source: RNAcentral
GCUUUGCUGACGAGUGGCGGACGGGUGAGUAAUGUCUGGGAAACUGCCUGAUGGAGGGGGAUAACUACUGGAAACGGUGGCUAAUACCGCAUAACGUCGCAAGACCAAAGAGGGGGACCUUCGGGCCUCUUGCCAUCAGAUGUGCCCAGAUGGGAUUAGCUUGUUGGUGAGGUAACGGCUCACCAAGGCGACGAUCCCUAGCUGGUCUGAGAGGAUGACCAGCCACACUGGAACUGAGACACGGUCCAGACUCCUACGGGAGGCAGCAGUGGGGAAUAUUGCACAAUGGGCGCAAGCCUGAUGCAGCCAUGCCGCGUGUAUGAAGAAGGCCUUCGGGUUGUAAAGUACUU